RNAcentral lists this unclassified non-coding RNA (955 nucleotides) under Hevea brasiliensis (rubber tree). Lineage: Eukaryota; Viridiplantae; Streptophyta; Magnoliopsida; Malpighiales; Euphorbiaceae. The record is from RNAcentral.
AAUGGUUAAUUUGUGAUGCACUGUGUUAUUGAAUAAUAUUAAUUACUAGAUUUUUUGGUUCAAUAGCUGCAAGUUCCUUCGCGCUUUUCCUCACCAAGAACCCCUUGAACACUUUUUGGAUCAUAAUAAUCUCAGACAGUUUCAAUCCAAGAUAAUGUCUUCCUUACUAAGAUAUUUUGAUUUCAUUCAUAGAUGAGAAUUUUUUUUUUUCCUUAUAAAAAAGGUAAACUUUUUGUUUUCAUUCUGAGAUUGAACGAGUGAGAGGAGGAGUAAGCCAAACAUAAGUAUGAGAGAGAGAGAGAGAGGUAGAUUUGUUUCUUUUGACUUUGCAGCUCAAUGUUGCUAAUUAGGAUCAAGGAUUAAUUGCAAUAGAACCCCUAUGGCUUUCUUUAAUGUACAUUUUGGUUUUUAUUAUUUCAAAAUUAGCGAUAAGAACCUCAUUUUACUAUAAACUUUAAAAUUGGGUUUUCCUUGUUGAUUGGGAUUAAAAUGGCUGAUGUGGAGGACAUAUAAGCGAUUCCAGUUACAUUCUCAUUGGAUUCUAGUGAAUGUUCUUCAUUUGGAAUAUAAAAUUAGAGUUGGAUUAACAAAAAUUAUUAAAUGAAAGUUUUCUUAUCAAAAUGAAUUUAACAAGUUGAGAGACAAUUGAAAUUUCUUGCAACAUCUUCCCAUAGACAUCCAACUCAAGUAUAAUACAUUAAAAACAGUACUCUAAUAUCUUAUGUUUGGUUAGAAGUUUCGAAAGACCCGGCUAGCUAAGGAAUUAGUCAUGUUUUAGGGCUACAACUUUAUCUUCAAAUAAGAAUCCUUCUAAAUUUAGUUCACAUAGAAAUUCAUAUAGAUUUAAGAAUACUAAGGAAUAAGAUUAGCCCUUUUUAUCCAUUAAUUAUCAUUUUUUGUCCAUUCUAUACCUAAUGUACUUUAAUAUUUGUUAUACAAUAUAUAGAUUUUAGGG